This 497-nucleotide ribosomal RNA is filed under the name uncultured bacterium. RNAcentral describes it as "partial 16S ribosomal RNA". It matches the Rfam family "Bacterial small subunit ribosomal RNA", at positions 28 to 507 of the family's 1533-position model. The record is from RNAcentral.
GAUGAACGCUGGCGGCGUGCUUAAUACAUGCAAGUCGAGCGAACAGACGAGGAUCUUGCGGCUCUGACGUGAGCGGCGGGCGUGUGAAUAACACGUGGAUAACCUACCUAUAAGUCUGGUAUAACUUCGGGAAACCGGAGCUAAUACCGGAUAAUAUAUUGAACCGCAGGGUGCAAUAGUGAAAUACGGUUUUGCUGUCACUUAUAGAUGGAUCCGCGCCUCAUUAGCUAGUUGGUAAGGUAAAGGCUUACCAAGGCAACGAGGCGUAGCCGACCUGAGAGGGUGAUCGGCCACACUGGAACUGAGACAAGGACCAGACUCCUAAGGGAGGCAGCAGUAGGGAAUCUUCCGCAAUGGGCGAAAGCUUGACGGAGCAACGCCGAGUGAGUGAUGACGGUCUUCGGAUCGUAAAACUCUGUUAUUAGGGAAGAACAAAUGUGUAAGUAACUAUGCACGUCUUGACGGUACUUAAUCAGAAAGCCACGGCUAACUACGUG